UCACUGCUGAUGAGUCCCAAAUAGGAUGAAACAGCCGUUCAGUGG
RNAcentral lists this non-coding RNA (45 nucleotides) under Echinostoma caproni. Lineage: Eukaryota; Metazoa; Platyhelminthes; Trematoda; Plagiorchiida; Echinostomatidae. The record is from RNAcentral.